This 497-nucleotide ribosomal RNA is filed under the name uncultured bacterium. Its description in RNAcentral is "partial 16S ribosomal RNA". It matches the Rfam family "Bacterial small subunit ribosomal RNA", at positions 28 to 507 of the family's 1533-position model. The record is from RNAcentral.
GAUGAACGCUGGCGGCGUGCCUAAUACAUGCAAGUCGAGCGAACAGACGAGGAGCUUGCUCCUCUGACGUUAGCGGCGGACGGGUGAGUAACACGUGGAUAACCUACCUAUAAGACUGGGAUAACUUCGGGAAACCGGAGCUAAUACCGGAUAAUAUAUUGAACCGCAUGGUUCAAUAGUGAAAGACGGUUUUGCUGUCACUUAUAGAUGGAUCCGCGCCGCAUUAGCUAGUUGGUAAGGUAACGGCUUACCAAGGCAACGAUGCGUAGCCGACCUGAGAGGGUGGUCGGCCACACUGGAACUGGGACACCGUCCAGACUCCUACGGGAGGCAGCAGUAGGGAAUCUUCCGCAAUGGGCGAAAGCCUGACGGAGCAACGCCGCGUGAGUGAUGAAGGUCUUCGGAUCGUAAAACUCUGUUAUUAGGGAAGAACAAAUGUGUAAGUAACUAUGCACGGCUUGACGGUACCUAAUCAGAAAGCCACGGCUAACUACGUG